Molecule: non-coding RNA, 96 nt
Organism: Mycena epipterygia
Lineage: Eukaryota; Fungi; Basidiomycota; Agaricomycetes; Agaricales; Mycenaceae
Source: the annotation of a GenBank genome assembly
GCGGAUGUAGUGCACGGUGCACCACUGCCAUGUAUAUGAGGAAACUUGUCUCUAAGUGUGAAGCAGUCAGGCGGGGUUCGACUCCCCGUGUCCGCA